Long non-coding RNA from Microtus oregoni (creeping vole), 1268 nucleotides. RefSeq lists it as uncharacterized. The record is from RefSeq and is a predicted model, not a curated record. Lineage: Eukaryota; Metazoa; Chordata; Mammalia; Rodentia; Cricetidae. The transcript has 3 exons.
AGACCUCGCCUGGUCAUCUGGGCCGUGGUGUUGGCGGUGGGUGGGUCUUGCAGCAUCUCUGGUCCUGCUGCGCAGGCCAUGGUACAGAGGUUCAGGGCCCUGCUGUCAGGGUCUGCCUGGUGUGAGUCAAAGCAUGUUUGGGACAUCGUGGUGGGGGUAUCUCAGGCAUAGUGCACACGUGAGGAAGUCACAGUUCUCCGUCCUGGGAGCCAGGAACUCGCUUCUCACUGGGUAUGAAGUAUGUGUGUGAUAUUUGAUCAAGAUACAACUUAAAUUUCCUAAGCUUCUGUCCAUCUGGCUAGUGAGUGGCCAGGUAGCAGAAGUGUUGGUUCCUUUGAUGACUCAGGAGCUCCCUCUUGAGGUGGGCUUUUGUACCACACCCUGAGCCCUGCCAGUGAUGAUGUCCCUAGGUCGCCUGCUAUCAGUGAGUGUCCUCCUAGCCUCUCCCACUUUCUUUGUCCCCCACUCCCCAAGAACGAGGUCUGACAACUUCAGGCUGUCCAUGGAGCCCUAACCUGCCCUUAGAAUGGCCAGAUAGAAUUGACCCCUUUGCUCCUCCCCAGCUAGGAUGCUGUCCCUGAGUGUCCUCCACACUCCUUCCUCAGUCAUGUACAAGAGCUGAGACAGAGCCAGGAUGGUUCCCAAGGUCACCAUGCUCAGUGAGGACCACUCUAAAACCCUAGCCUAAUCUUUACAGGGCCUGCACGGCCCCACAAAAUGAGCCCUUCUAACACCUAUGGGUGCCCCCAAGAGUGACCUCCUCACCUCUGUCCUCUAGGUCCCCGGCAGUGGCCUGGGGUUCUACACUGUAACCUUUUCAGCUGUCCUGUGCCUCUUGGCUCUUUCUGCCACCUUCUGUCUUGAGUGUCUACCAUCCACUGCUUGCUUCUGUUCUGCCUCAGCCCCCAGGGUCCCUGAUGUCCUGAGCUUGGUGAGGAGGGGCUCAGGAGCCCCAGAAGCCGAGGGCCCCCUGUCCUGCCCAUCUCCAGUUCCCAUUAGCCCCCUUCCAGCCCCGUCCCCCAGGAUCUCUGACAUCCUGAACUCGGUGAGAAGGGGCUGUGGAACCCCAGAAGCCGAGGGACCCCUAUCAGUGGGGCCCCCACCCUGCUUGUCUCCGGGUCUCCUAGGCCCCCUGCCCACCCCGUCCCCCAGGAUCUCUGACAUCCUGAACUCAGUGAGGCGGGGCUCAGGGACCCCAGAAGCUGAGGGCCUCCCACCAGUGGGCCCCCCACCCUGCCCAUCUCCGACUCUCCCUGGCCCCUUGCCCA